AUACGGAGGAUCCGAGCGUUAUCCGGAUUUAUUGGGUUUAAAGGGUGCGCAGGCGGGAGAUUAAGUCGGCGGUGAAAUUUUGCAGCUCAACUGUAAAAGUGCCUUCGAUACUGGUUUCCUUGAGUGGGGAUGAAGGAGGCGGAAUUUGUGGUGUAGCGGUGUAAUGCUUAGAUAUCACGAGGAACUCCGAUUGCGCAGGCAGCUUACUAAACUACUACUGACGCUCAGGCACGAAGGCGUGGGGAUCAAACAGGAUUAGAUACCCUGGUAGUCCACGCAGUAAACGAUGAUUACUAGCUGUUUGCGAUACAAUGUAAGCGGCUGAGCGAAAGCGUUAAGUAAUCCACCUGGGGAGUACGUUCGCAAGAAUGAAACUCAAAGGAAUUGACGGGG
This 393-nucleotide ribosomal RNA is filed under the name uncultured bacterium. RNAcentral's name for it is "partial 16S ribosomal RNA". It matches the Rfam family "Bacterial small subunit ribosomal RNA", at positions 523 to 918 of the family's 1533-position model. The record is from RNAcentral.